UCACAGUCUAGUGCAGUUGACAGGUGUGCU
Molecule: non-coding RNA, 30 nt
Filed under: Mus musculus (house mouse)
Lineage: Eukaryota; Metazoa; Chordata; Mammalia; Rodentia; Muridae
Source: RNAcentral